RNAcentral lists this long non-coding RNA (7321 nucleotides) under Gossypium barbadense (sea-island cotton). RNAcentral's name for it is "long non-coding RNA (GBAR_LNC020658)". The record is from RNAcentral. Lineage: Eukaryota; Viridiplantae; Streptophyta; Magnoliopsida; Malvales; Malvaceae.
CUCCAAUUAUAAAAUAGAGUUUAAGUAAGAUGGAAUAAGGUCUCAAAUAAUACAACACUACCUUAAUUAAGGAAUGAGCGACUUUCUUAACACUCUGUUGAAUCCAUUAGAAGAACAUAUUACGAAUUAAUUUAUUUAAAAUAAUAUUAAUUCAAAUUCUGAAACCAUAGAUUUCAUCCGGCCGAGGGCAUUGAGCACCUCCAUACAAUUGAGUUCGAUAAUAACCUUGUCAAGGUAAGAAUCCUUGAUCCAUGAAACAACCUCUCAAAUCGCUAUUGCAUCGGCAACAUGAGCUUCUAUGACACCUGAAAAAUGACCCGAUAAAGCUUGGACGAAUUUACCAUCUGCAUCUUUAAUUACAAUAGCAAAACUAGUCUUAUCUUCAACUAGAAACGUUUGCGGCAUCAACAUUGCAUUUUGCCAACCUUCUUCCAAAGAGGUUGGUCGAGACAACAUCUUUGAAUCUUUCCAAGUCUACAAAAAAUUAUUAAUAAAAGUAACAAGAUUGUGAGCCUGCAUUUCCUUUUGUUGCCAUACAAACAAAUUCCUUCUAUAUCAUAUGGUGCAUAAGCAAGAUAAAUAUUGGUGUUUAAAAUCUAAAAUAUUUGCAUUGAAGAAAUCUUUGAUGAACUGAGGGACAAUACUUGUAAGAAUAUCAGCAUUUAGAGAGUCCCGUAAUGGCUUAAUAGUUGGGCAAUGUCAGAUACUAUGAUCUAGAGUUUUGAGAAGGCCACACCAACAACAAGCCCUUCUAAUAUUCAUCUCUUUUCUAGCUUAAUUAGAUUUGUAAAGGACAGAGUUCCUUAAACAAUUCCAACAGAAGUGUUGGCAUUUAGACGGUAAGUUAUUCCAAAUCUAUUGCCAAACAACCUUCAGUCUUGAGAGUAUCAAUGUUAGAGAAAUUGUCAAUAGCCAAACUUCACAGUGUAUUCACCAAGCUUAAUAAAAUGCCAAAUCAAUUUGUUAGAAGGUUUUUGCCUACUAACCAGGUCCAUAAACACACACAUCCCCUGAAUAAAAUUGACAUCCCUGGCAAUCCCUUGUGUAUUGGAAAGGUCAUGAACAAGCAAGUUUUAAAUCCUUCACUUGGUUCGGAAUCAACAAAAGAAUUCAUAUCGUCACAAAGCCAAUCAUCUUGAAAACUCUAAUGGUUCUACCAACUCCUCCUCACUCUUACCAUUUUUACCCAAAAUUCAUGGGAAUUUCCAUAGCCACUAUAAAGGAACAGUGAAGUGGAGAUCUUAGUGAGUUAGAUUAUCAUCUUGGAAAAAAGAAAUUAGAAGUGGAAGUGGAGAAAGUUGAGAAGAAAGUAAAGGGGUUAAAUAGACAAGGUAAGAAAUUCAAGAAUUUUUAUAGAAUUCAUGUUUAAUUGAAGUAGAAAAAUAAGAAAAUGAUUUGUAGUAUGAGUUUUGAUUAUGUAUUUGAUGUGUUCAUGAAGUAGAAAAAGAGAAGAAAUAAUGAAAAUGUUGGAAUCAAGGUGAAGGUGGUGACUAAAGUGAGGAAGGAAGAGAAUUAAAGCAAAAAUAGUGAAUUCCUAACAAAAAGAUAGGUAAAGGCACCAAGAAUCUUACCUUACCAAAUUUGAAUUUAUGCAUGAAUUUUAUUCUAAUUGUUAUGAUAGUGCUCUUAAAGUUUAAUUAUGCUAAUCUAAAUAACCCUUAAACUCUCUCUGCUCCCAAGAGUGCUUUGCUUAGAAGUCCUAGAGAUAGCAGUAACUGCUGCGGCUUGGGAUGAAAGAAAGCGGUGGCGACGACCGAGAGGGGAGGGAUGAGAUCUCUCUUCUUGCUGACGAAUUAAUUCAGUUAUCAGUCAAGGGCUCGAAAGUGGUACCAAGUUCUAAACCUACAUUGAUAUGUACAGUUUGGACAGAAAAGCUAUACAACCCAGAUAGUUUUAGGGCUCAUAUGAGAAGUAUAUGGAAGACAAGGAAAAAGUUUGAGAUUCAGAUGGUGGGACAAAAUUUAUUCUUAAUAAUAUUUGAGUUGGUAAAAGAUCUGGAGAUGAUAUUGGAAGGGAGACCUUGGCUCUUCUGUAAGAGUGUUAUUAUUUUUGAUAGAUUAUGUCAAGCAGUGGAGAGAGAUCAGAUUAGGCUUAUUUCAUUUCCGUUUUGGAUAAAAAUUGACUCGCGUUUCCCAGAGUUUGAUAAUAAAGAUCUACUGCAUGCUAUUGGUGCCACGUUUGGUGGGGUUCUCAGAUCUGAAAUUAAUGAAGAAUUCUGUCGGCUCAGAAUCAAUUUGGAUGUUCAGAAACCACUUAGAAGAGGUAUCUUUGUCUCUACUGAUUAUGCUAGUAAAAUGUGGAUCCCUUUUAAGUUUGAAAACUUGCUAAUGUUCUGUUUUGGAUGCGGAAGAAUGGGGUAUGGGAUGAGUAAUUGCUCUCAAAUUUUAUCUGCAAGGAAAAAUAAAAUUAGUGAAAAUCCUCCUUAUUCGUUAGCAUUAAAAGCUGAAUCAAAAUUAAUAGGAAAAGAAAAUAUGAAAUUUAAAAGUUUGCUGAAGUAGGUGGGGGUCCAAAGUUCUUAUACUGGAGGGGAAAGAGGGUCGUCGAAUAAUGUAAAAAGUGCUGAAAGAGGGAAUAACGAAGUGGGGGGUCCACAGGAGAGUUUGGAUUUAAUGGUAGAAGGGGAGAUGCUAAAGGAGCAGGAUAGUGUUUCGGGGUUAGGGGAAGCUGAGGAAGUGAGUGAUUGUUUUAGGAAAAAGAGUCAAAAUACAUAUCAUGAGAGGAAGGUAAAUUGGAUAAGAACCCAGUCCGGUGAAACAAAAAUAACAGCAAAAGUCGAAAAUAAUACGAGGAAGAGGAAGUCACUUGAUGCAAACCUUAAAGGGAGUUAUAAAGAAGAUGCAGAUAGAGAUGGAAUUAAAAGGCUGAAACAAGAUUCUUCAGAAGAUUAUGACAAAACCCCCUCAGAGGUGAGGGUAGACAAUUCCGAGCAACUUGUUGUUCAAGAUUUCUUGAGAUCGACGGCUGCCAAUAGGCAAGCCGACCGCACGCAAUGAAAAUUAUAAGCUGGAAUGUUCGUGGAUUGGGGAGUCCACGAGCUGGAAGAAGGCUGCGCUACUUUCUAAAGCAGCACAAUCCCCAAAUAGUUUUCCUAAUGGAGACUAAAAUUGAUAAACAAAGGAUGGAAAAAGUUAGGCGAAGUUGCGAUUUUAUGAAUGGAAUUGAUAUUGAAGCAGAGGGUUCGAGAGGAGGAUUAUGCUUAGCAUGGAAGGGAGAUUCUAAAGUUAGCUUACGAAGUUUCUCUAGGAAUCAUAUUGAUGUCUUGGUUAAAGAGGAACAGGAUAAAGAAGAGUAGAGAUUUACAGGAUUCUAUGGUUCCUCAUAUGUCCACAAUAAAAGAGAUUCAUGGGAUUUAUUGAUAAAAUUGGGACAAGACAAGAAUUUCCCAUGGUUGGUAGGUGGUGACUUUAAUGAGAUAAUGUAUUUUUUUGAGAAAAGUGGGGGGUCCCAAGGGAUGAGAGAAGAAUGUGCGCAUUUCAAUAAGUCCUAAAAGAUUGCCAAUUAGAAGAUUUGGGAUAUUCGGGAGUGUAGUUUACAUCAAAAAUGGGAAAUCUAUCGGAAACUAAUAUUAGAGAAAGACUUGAUAGGGGUGUGAUAAAUGAUAAAUUGAGGUAUCUUUUUUCGACAGGUUGCGUUUACCAUUUAACUCAUACAUUAUCUGAUCACUGCCCAAUUCUAAUUAAUACAAAUGGUGAAAGCUUUCAUAAGGGCAAUUUAAAAUUUAAAUUUGAGGCAUGGUGGCUGAUAGAAGAGACGUGCGAGAAAGUAAUCAAAGAAUCUUGGGAAUCAGGAAUAGGCACAGUAGUUGAGAAACUUGGAAAAUUACAAGAAGACCUAAUGGUAUGGGAGAGAAUGAUUAAGCAAUGAAGAGAAGGAUUAAAGAAAAAGCUAACAGAGCAACUAGAUAUGUUAAUGGAAAAGGAAAGGGAUGACAAUAUAAUGGCAGAAAUUAUUGAUACUAAGAUCCACUUGAACAUGGAAAUUGAUAAAGAUGAAGUUUAUUGGGAACAAAGGGCUAGGGCAAAUUGGCUCAAAGUAGGGGAUAGGAAUUCAACCUUUUUUCACAGGUAUGCUACAUAUUGAAGACGUAUAAAUUCAAUAUCCAAACUGGAGAAAGCUGGAGGAAGAGAAGCUAAUGAUAUGGAUGAGAUUAAUGAAGUAGCUACCUUUUAUUUUCAGUAGCUUUUCACAUCAAAAGGAGCUGGGGAUUGUUCCUAUCUUUUAUCGAGAAUAAAGGAAAAUAUUUCAACAGAUAUUAAUAGAGAGCUAAUGACCGGCUUUACAGCAGAGGAAGUGCAUACGGUAUUGAAAGGAAUGGGACCUACAAAAGCACCAGGACAUGAUGGUUUUCCAGCCAUUUUCUUUCAAAAAUUCUAGCAUAUUGUAGGUAAAGAAACAACAAAUCUUUGUUUGGAAAUUUUAAAUAACGGUGCAAGUCUAGGUACAUUGAAUCACACGGACAUUGUGCUGAUCCCAAAAAUCCCAAAUCCUAUCAAUUUAUGUUCGAUCAUUUAUAAAGUGGUAGCAAAAACAAUUACUAAUCGAUUGCAAGCAGUUAUUGGAAGAUGUAUUGAUGCGGCCCAGAGCACGUUUGUUCCCAGAAGAUCUUGCAUACUUUUCGACAGAAACGUAUAGGAAAAAAAGGAUAUAUGGCGGUAAAGCUUGAUAUGAGCAAAGUCUAUGACAAGGUUGAGUAGGGAUAUUUGAAGGAACUGAUGUUACAAAUGGGGUUCACAUCAGACUGGGUGAAGCUGGUUAUGAAUUGCGUUUCCACAACCUAUGCAGUUACUAUAAAUGGUAGAAGUGGAAGAUAUUUCUCCCCAUCUAGAGGCUUGCGUCAAGGAGACCCACUGAGCCUUUUUCUAUUUUUGAUGUGUACGUGAGGGAUUAUCAUCUUUGAUGAGAAAGGCUUCAAAAAUGGGAUUGAUAAAAGGUGCAAAAGCCAACAGAAGAGGACCAAAAAUUUCACACUUACUUUUUGCAGAUGAUUGUAUUUUAUUCGGGGAAGCAUCAGAUAGGGGUGCUAAGGUACUAAAAGAAAAUUUGAAGGAAUAUGAAAAGUGUUCUGGGCAAUACGUUAAUUUUAAUAAAUCUACCAUAUUUUUUAGCUCAAAUACGUCCAAUGAAAAAAAGGGAAGAAGUUUCGACAAUACGGAGGGUAAGGAUCUCAACAAAUUUAGAACGAUACUUGGGGCUUCCGAAUGUUGUUGGUCGACGUAAGAAAGGAUCCUUUCAGCACUUAAAAGAGAAUAUUUCUACUAGAAUUGAUGGGUGGAGUACUAGAACGCUAUCUCAAGGAGGUAAAGAAGUAUUUAUUAAAUCGGUGUUACAGGCCAUUCCAACAUAUGUUAUGUUGUGCUUCUUAUUGCCAAAAACUCUUUGUGGAGACUUUGAAAACAUUUUUGCUAAAUUUUGACGGCAGAAAGAGCAUGGGCGAAGAGGUAUCCAUUGGUGUCAGUGGAAGUACUUAUGCCGACCUAAAGAAGGUGGGAUGGGUUUUAGAAAUAUGGCUCAAUUCAAUAUCUCACUUUUAGCUAAACAGGUAUGGCGAAUUUUGAACAAUCCAAACUCUUUAGUAGCGCAAGUCUUAAAAGCAAAAUAUUUUCCAAAAGUCGAUUUUUUAAAUUCACAGUUGGGGAAUAACGUUUCAUAUACAUGGAAAAGUAUUUGGGCUACUAAGGGCAUUUUAGCAGAGGGAUUAUGUUGGAAGGUGGGUAGAGGUAUGAAUAUUUCAGAAAAUCGUGAUUAUUGGAUUCCAGCUUUACCGUGUGGCAGGUUACCAGUUUUAAAUACGAAUUUGAAUGAUAUUAAAGUUGCGGAGUUAAUAGAUUCAAAUAGCAGAACAUGGAGAAAGGAAUUGAUAGAGUCUACCUUCCCGGAGAACAUUGCCGAGAUGAUUCUCAAUAUCCCGCUGGCAGAAAAACCUCACGAAAAUUUCCUAGUUUGGAGUGCUGAAGCAUCGGGUGAGUACACAGUACGUAGCGCCUAUAAACUAUUACAAAGUACUAAAGAUAAUCCUAGAGCUUAUGCUUUACAAACCGACUAUAAGGACUUUUACAGAAAACUAUGGUUACUUGAUCUUCCUUCAAAGAUAAAAAUUACAAUCUGGAAGAUAUCUUGGAAUUUCCUAGCUACACGUGUUAAUAUGCUACUUAGAAGACUAACGAACAUAUCAGUGUGUCCUCGGUGUGGCUCAGAAACAGAAACUAUGGACCACCUCUUCCGUGAAUGUCAUGUUUCAACAUCAGUUUCGAAAGAGUUAUCAUUUCAUAUUUGUUUGUAAGAUAAUCAGAUGGGGUUUCUACAGUGGCUAACCUGGAUUUUUUCAAAAAGCUCAGCAGGUCAGUGUCGGAUCUUUUGUUAUGCAUUAUGGGCUAUCUGGGGAGACAGGAACAAUAGAGUGCAUAAAAAGUGAGUAAAUCUGGAAAAGAAAUAGGGAGAUUCGUUAAUAGCUACAUUUCAGAGUUAAAUGGGAUUGGUAAAAAAAGACCACAAAUUUCCAUACCUACUAAUAAAUGGAAAAGGCCAUCUGAUCGGGUUGUUAAGAUAAAUUUUGACGCAGCAUAUGAAGAUGGACAAAAGAAAGCGGCUGUAGGAAUAGUGGCUAGAGACAGAGAGGGUACAGUUCUUCUAUCAUGCUCGGAAGUCCACCAACGGGUUUUAUCAGCCUUUGCAGCGGAGGCAUUCGGGUGUCGGAAAGCACUCCAGAUCGGCGUUCACAUGCAGUGGGAAAAAGUUACUAUUGAAGGAGAUUAUUUAUUAAUAAUAAGGAAAUGCAAAUAAAAAAACCCAGACAAAUCAUUGGUCAGUGCGUAUAUUCAUGACAUUCAUCAGCUUAUGUUAACAUUUAAGGAUUGUAGAUUUGAGCAUAUUCCAGGAUUAGCAAAUAGCCUCGCGCAUAUCUUAGCAACUGAAGCAUUAAAGAGUAAUAAAGGAGAGUAUCUGGUAGGAAGAGUCCCUGAAACAGCAGAAAAACAAGCGGAAAAUGAAAGGGUGAGAGAACCAGAUUGAAAUAGGAAAUGGGAGAAAAUGGAGUAAGGGGAGUCUGAGAAGGGCAGGUAAUUAAAUGACUAUAGCAGGCCUUGGGUAAAUGGAAACGUCUUGAAAGUGUAAAGAAAGAUGAAAAGACAAGACGUUAUUUUCUUUUGACGCUGAUUGGGUGGGUUGAACAGUAGCAUUUAUUUGUUUUCAGCCUUUUGUUUCCAGUUUUUUGCUUUGGUUUCCUAGGUGAUUAGUUUUCCUUUUAAUUUUGUUUCUUUAGUUGUUCUUUUUGCUGGCCCAAGUUUGAUAUUUGGGCUCUUUCUAUUUCUUUUUAGGAUUAGAU